This 497-nucleotide ribosomal RNA is filed under the name uncultured bacterium. Its description in RNAcentral is "partial 16S ribosomal RNA". It matches the Rfam family "Bacterial small subunit ribosomal RNA", at positions 28 to 507 of the family's 1533-position model. The record is from RNAcentral.
GAUGAACGCUGGCGGCGUGCCUAAUACAUGCAAGUCGAGCGAACGGACGAGAAGCUUGCUUCUCUGAUGUUAGCGGCGAACGGGUGCGUAACACGUGGAUAACCUACCUAUAAGACUGGGAUAACUUCGGGAAACCGUAGCUAAUACCGGAUAAUAUUUUGAACCGCAUGGUUCAAAAUUGAAAGACGGUCUUGCUGUCACUUAUAGAUGGAUCCGCGCUGCAUUAGCUAGUUGGUAAGGUAACGGCUUACCAAGGCAACGAUGCAUAGCCGACCUGAGAGGGUGAUCGGCCACACUGGAACUGAGACACGGUCCAGACUCCUACGGGAGGCAGCAGUAGGGAAUCUUCCGCAAUGGGCGAAAGCCUGACGGAGCAACGCCGCGUGAGUGAUGAAGGUCUUCGGAUCGUAAAACUCUGUUAUUAGGGAAGAACAUAUGUGUAAGUAACUGUGCACAUCUUGACGGUACCUAAUCAGAAAGCCACGGCUAACUACGUG